Molecule: ribosomal RNA, 460 nt
Filed under: uncultured bacterium
Lineage: Bacteria
Description: bacterial SSU rRNA
Rfam family: Bacterial small subunit ribosomal RNA
Source: RNAcentral
GAUGAAUGCUGGCGGCGUGCCUAAUACAUGCAAGUCGAGCGGUAAGGCCCUUCGGGGUACACGUGCGGCGGACGGCUGAGUAACGCGUGGGAACAUGCCCCAAAGUGAGGGAUAACGCACCGAAAGGUGUGCUAAUACCGCAUAUGGUCUUCGGAUUAAAGGAUUUAUCCGCUUUGGGAGUGGCCCGCGUACGAUUAGAUUGUUGGUGAGGUAACGGCUCACCAAGUCGACGAUCGUUAACUGGUCUGAGAGGAUGAUCAGUCAGACUGGAACUGAGACACGGUCCAGACUCCUACGGGAGGCAGCAGUAAGGAAUCUUCCACAAUGGGCGAAAGCCUGAUGGAGCAACGCCGCGUGCAGGAUGAAGGCCUCGGUCGUAACUAGCUUUAUGAGUGAAGAAUAAUGACGGUAACUCAUGAAUAAGACACCGGCUAACUAACGUGCCAGCAGCCGCGGUAAU